AACGAACGCUGGCGGCAUGCCUAACACAUGCAAGUCGAACGAGACCUUCGGGUCUAGUGGCGCACGGGUGCGUAACGCGUGGGAACCUGCCCUUAGGUUCGGAAUAACUCCCCGAAAGGGGUGCUAAUACCGGAUAAUGUCUUCGGACCAAAGAUUUAUCGCCUUUGGAUGGGCCCGCGUUGGAUUAGCUAGUUGGUAGGGUAAAAGCCUACCAAGGCGACGAUCCAUAGCUGGUCUGAGAGGAUGAUCAGCCACACUGGGACUGAGAUACGGCCCAGACUCCUACGGGAGGCAGCAGUGGGGAAUAUUGGACAAUGGGCGAAAGCCUGAUCCAGCAAUGCCGCGUGAGUGAUGAAGGCCUUAGGGUUGUAAAGCUCUUUUACCCGGGAUGAUAAUGACAGUACCGGGAGAAUAAGCUCCGGCUAACUCCGU
This 432-nucleotide ribosomal RNA is filed under the name uncultured bacterium. Its description in RNAcentral is "partial 16S ribosomal RNA". It matches the Rfam family "Bacterial small subunit ribosomal RNA", at positions 29 to 506 of the family's 1533-position model. The record is from RNAcentral.